RNAcentral lists this ribosomal RNA (429 nucleotides) under Reishia luteostoma. Its description in RNAcentral is "Thais luteostoma partial small subunit ribosomal RNA". It matches the Rfam family "Bacterial large subunit ribosomal RNA", at positions 1948 to 2590 of the family's 2925-position model. Lineage: Eukaryota; Metazoa; Mollusca; Gastropoda; Neogastropoda; Muricidae. The record is from RNAcentral.
GUGCAAAGGUAGCAUAAUCAUUUGCCUUAUAAUUGAAGGCUAGUAUGAAUGGUUUGACGAGAAUUAAGCUGUCUCUUUUUAACUAAAUAUAACUUUAUUAAGAGGUGAAGAAGCCUGUAUUUUAUUGAAAGACAAGAAGACCCUAUCGAGCUUUAAAGAAUUUAGUAGAUUUACCAUAUAUUAAUAAAAAAGUAAAGCAACUAAAUAUUUUGGUUGGGGCGACUGAGGAACAAACAAAGCUUCCUUUAUGCUAAUUAAAACUUACAAGUAUUGAUCCAAUUUAUUUGAUUAAAGAAAUUAGUUACCGUAGGGAUAACAGCAUAAUCCCCUUUGAGAGUUCUCAUCGAAAAGGGGGUUUGUGACCUCGAUGUUGGACCAGAAUACCCAGAAGAUGCAGCCGUCUUCAAUGGUUGGUCUGUUCGACCAUUA